GUGCUGCAUGGUUGUCGUCAGCUCGUGCCGUGAGGUGUCGGCUUAAGUGCCAUAACGAGCGCAACCCUUAUCUUCAGUUACUAACAGGUCAUGCUGAGGACUCUGGAGAGACUGCCGUCGUAAGAUGUGAGGAAGGUGGGGAUGACGUCAAAUCAGCACGGCCCUUACGUCCGGGGCUACACACGUGUUACAAUGGGGGGUACAGAAGGCAGCUACCGGGCGACCGGAUGCCAAUCCCAAAAACCUCUCUCAGUUCGGAUCGAAGUCUGCAACCCGACUUUGUGAAGCUGGAUUCGCUAGUAAUCGCGCAUCAGCCAUGGCGCGGUGAAUACGUUCCCGGGCCUUGUACACACCGCCCGUCAAGCCAUGAAAGCCGGGGGUACCUGAAGUACGUAACCGCAAGGAGCGUCCUAGGGUAAAACUGGUAAUUGGGGCUAAGUCGUAACAAGGUAGCCGUACCGGAAGGUGCGGCUGGAUCACCUC
RNAcentral lists this ribosomal RNA (483 nucleotides) under uncultured bacterium. Its description in RNAcentral is "bacterial SSU rRNA". It matches the Rfam family "Bacterial small subunit ribosomal RNA", at positions 1038 to 1529 of the family's 1533-position model. The record is from RNAcentral.